This 74-nucleotide transfer RNA is filed under the name Mediterraneibacter torques. RNAcentral describes it as "[Ruminococcus] torques tRNA-Ala(tgc)". It matches the Rfam family "tRNA". From Rfam's summary of the family: Transfer RNA (tRNA) molecules are approximately 80 nucleotides in length. Their secondary structure includes four short double-helical elements and three loops (D, anti-codon, and T loops). Further hydrogen bonds mediate the characteristic L-shaped molecular structure. tRNAs have two regions of fundamental functional importance: the anti-codon, which is responsible for specific mRNA codon recognition, and the 3' end, to which the tRNAs corresponding amino acid is attached (by aminoacyl-tRNA synthetases). tRNAs cope with the degeneracy of the genetic code in two manners: having more than one tRNA (with a specific anti-codon) for a particular amino acid; and 'wobble' base-pairing, i.e. permitting non-standard base-pairing at the 3rd anti-codon position. Lineage: Bacteria; Bacillati; Bacillota; Clostridia; Lachnospirales; Lachnospiraceae. RNAcentral also lists the same sequence under 9 other names. The record is from RNAcentral.
GGGGGAUUAGCUCAGUUGGGAGAGCGCCUGCCUUGCAAGCAGGAGGUCACGAGUUCGACUCUCGUAUUCUCCAC